This 694-nucleotide ribosomal RNA is filed under the name uncultured bacterium. Its description in RNAcentral is "bacterial SSU rRNA". It matches the Rfam family "Bacterial small subunit ribosomal RNA", at positions 32 to 715 of the family's 1533-position model. The record is from RNAcentral.
AACGCUAGCUACAGGCUUAACACAUGCAAGUCGAGGGGUAACAAGAGAAAAGCUUGCUUUUCUUGUUGACGACCGGCGCACGGGUGAGUAACGCGUAUCCAACCUGCCUAUAACUAGGGAAUAACCUUGCGAAAGUAAGACUAAUACCCUAUGAUUUCCUUUGAUGACAUCAGAUUAGGAAUAAAGAUUUAUCGGUUAUAGAUGGGGAUGCGUCUGAUUAGCUUGUUGGCGGGGUAACGGCCCACCAAGGCAACGAUCAGUAGGGGUUCUGAGAGGAAGGUCCCCCACAUUGGAACUGAGACACGGUCCAAACUCCUACGGGAGGCAGCAGUGAGGAAUAUUGGUCAAUGGACGAGAGUCUGAACCAGCCAAGUAGCGUGCAGGAUGACGGCCCUAUGGGUUGUAAACUGCUUUUAUAAGGGAAUAAAGUUAGUCUCGUGAGACUUUUUGCAUGUACCUUAUGAAUAAGGACCGGCUAAUUCCGUGCCAGCAGCCGCGGUAAUACGGAAGGUCCGGGCGUUAUCCGGAUUUAUUGGGUUUAAAGGGAGCGUAGGCCGGAGAUUAAGCGUGUUGUGAAAUGUAGACGCUCAACGUCUGCACUGCAGCGCGAACUGGUUUCCUUGAGUACGCAUAAAGUGGGCGGAAUUCGUGGUGUAGCGGUGAAAUGCUUAGAUAUCACGAAGAACUCCGAUUG